GCUCAGAUUGAACGCUGGCGGCAGGCCUAACACAUGCAAGUCGAGCGGUAGAGAGAAGCUUGCUUCUCUUGAGAGCGGCGGACGGGUGAGUAAUGCCUAGGAAUCUGCCUGGUAGUGGGGGAUAACGUUCGGAAACGGACGCUAAUACCGCAUACGUCCUACGGGAGAAAGCAGGGGACCUUCGGGCCUUGCGCUAUCAGAUGAGCCUAGGUCGGAUUAGCUAGUUGGUGAGGUAAUGGCUCACCAAGGCGACGAUCCGUAACUGGUCUGAGAGGAUGAUCAGUCACACUGGAACUGAGACACGGUCCAGACUCCUACGGGAGGCAGCAGUGGGGAAUAUUGGACAAUGGGCGAAAGCCUGAUCCAGCCAUGCCGCGUGUGUGAAGAAGGUCUUCGGAUUGUAAAGCACUUUAAGUUGGGAGGAAGGGUUGUAGAUUAAUACUCUGCAAUUUUGACGUUACCGACAGAAUAAGCACCGGCUAACUCUGUGCCAGCAGCCGCGGUAAUACAGAGGGUGCAAGCGUUAAUCGGAAUUACUGGGCGUAAAGCGCGCGUAGGUGGUUUGUUAAGUUGGAUGUGAAAUCCCCGGGCUCAACCUGGGAACUGCAUUCAAAACUGACUGACUAGAGUAUGGUAGAGGGUGGUGGAAUUUCCUGUGUAGCGGUGAAAUGCGUAGAUAUAGGAAGGAACACCAGUGGCGAAGGCGACCACCUGGACUAAUACUGACACUGAGGUGCGAAAGCGUGGGGAGCAAACAGGAUUAGAUACCCUGGUAGUCCACGCCGUAAACGAUGUCAACUAGCCGUUGGAAGCCUUGAGCUUUUAGUGGCGCAGCUAAC
RNAcentral lists this ribosomal RNA (839 nucleotides) under Pseudomonas sp. Its description in RNAcentral is "bacterial SSU rRNA". It matches the Rfam family "Bacterial small subunit ribosomal RNA", at positions 22 to 856 of the family's 1533-position model. The record is from RNAcentral. Lineage: Bacteria; Pseudomonadati; Pseudomonadota; Gammaproteobacteria; Pseudomonadales; Pseudomonadaceae.